This 493-nucleotide ribosomal RNA is filed under the name uncultured bacterium. Its description in RNAcentral is "partial 16S ribosomal RNA". It matches the Rfam family "Bacterial small subunit ribosomal RNA", at positions 29 to 523 of the family's 1533-position model. The record is from RNAcentral.
AUUGAACGCUGGCGGCAUGCUUUACACAUGCAAGUCGAACGGUAACAGGUUAAGCUGACGAGUGGCGAACGGGUGAGUAAUGCAUCGGAACGUGCCCGAUCGUGGGGGAUAACACAGCGAAAGCUGCGCUAAUACCGCAUACGAUCUGAGGAUGAAAGCGGGGGACCGUAAGGCCUCGCGCGAUCGGAGCGGCCGAUGUCAGAUUAGGUAGUUGGUGGGGUAAAGGCUCACCAAGCCAACGAUCUGUAGCCGGUCUGAGAGGACGACCAGCCACACUGGGACUGAGACACGGCCCAGACUCCUACGGGAGGCAGCAGUGGGGAGUUUUGGACAAUGGGCGAAAGCCUGAUCCAGCAAUGCCGCGUGCAGGAAGAAGGCCUUCGGGUUGUAAACUGCUUUUGUACGGAGCGAAAAGGCUCUCUCUAAUACAGGGGGCUCAUGACGGUACCGUAAGAAUAAGCACCGGCUAACUACGUGCCAGCCGCCGCCGUAA